GACGAACGCUGGCGGCGUGCUUAACACAUGCAAGUCGAACGAUGAAGCCCAGCUUGCUGGGUGGAUUAGUGGCGAACGGGUGGGUAACACGUGAGUAACCUGCCCUUGACUCUGGGAUAAGCGCUGGAAACGGCGUCUAAUACCGGAUACGACCUGCCCCGGCAUCGGGUGCGGGUGGAAAGUUUUUCGGUCAAGGAUGGACUCGCGGCCUAUCAGGUAGUUGGUGAGGUAAUGGCUCACCAAGCCGACGACGGGUAGCCGGCCUGAGAGGGUGACCGGCCACACUGGGACUGAGACACGGCCCAGACUCCUACGGGAGGCAGCAGUGGAGAAUAUUGCACAAUGGGCGAAAGCCUGAUGCAGCAACGCCGCGUGGGGGAUGACGGCCUUCGGGUUGUAAACCUCUUUUAGUAGGGAAGAAGGGCUUCGGCUUGACGGUACCUGCAGAAAAAGCACCGGCUAACUACGUGCCAGCAGCCGCGGUAAUACGUAGGGUGCAAGCGUUGUCCGGAAUUAUUGGGCGUAAAGAGCUCGUAGGCGGUUUGUCGCGUCUGCUGUGAAAACCCGAGGCUCAACCUCGGGCCUGCAGUGGGUACGGGCAGACUAGAGUGCGGUAGGGGAGAAUGGAAUUCCUGGUGUAGCGGUGGAAUGCGCAGAUAUCAGGAGGAACACCGAUGGCGAAGGCAGUUCUCUGGGCCGUUACUGACGCUGAGGAGCGAAAGCGUGGGGAGCGAACAGGAUUAGAUACCCUGGUAGUCCACGCCGUAAACGUUGGGAACUAGAUGUGGGGACCUUUCCACGGUCUCCGUGUCGCAGCUAACGCAUUAAGUUCCCCGCCUGGGGAGUACGGCCGCAAGGCUAAAACUCAAAGGAAUUGACGGGGGCCCGCACAAGCGGCGGAGCAUGCGGAUUAAUUCGAUGCAACGCGAAGAACCUUACCAAGGCUUGACAUAUACCGGAAACUUCCAGAAAUGGUUGCCCCGCAAGGUCGGUAUACAGGUGGUGCAUGGUUGUCGUCAGCUCGUGUCGUGAGAUGUUGGGUUAAGUCCCGCAACGAGCGCAACCCUCGUUCUAUGUUGCCAGCACGUCAUGGUGGGAACUCAUAGGAGACUGCCGGGGUCAACUCGGAGGAAGGUGGGGAUGACGUCAAAUCAUCAUGCCCCUUAUGUCUUGGGCUUCACGCAUGCUACAAUGGCCGGUACAAAGGGCUGCGAUACCGUAAGGUGGAGCGAAUCCCAAAAAGCCGGUCUCAGUUCGGAUUGAGGUCUGCAACUCGACCUCAUGAAGUCGGAGUCGCUAGUAAUCGCAGAUCAGCAACGCUGCGGUGAAUACGUUCCCGGGCCU
RNAcentral lists this ribosomal RNA (1344 nucleotides) under uncultured bacterium. RNAcentral's name for it is "bacterial SSU rRNA". It matches the Rfam family "Bacterial small subunit ribosomal RNA", at positions 28 to 1381 of the family's 1533-position model. The record is from RNAcentral.